CCCUUAGAUGUUCUGGGCUGCACGCGCGCUACACUGAAGGACUCAACGUGCUUGUCUCCUUGGCCGUCAGGUCUGGGUAACCCGUUGAACCUCCUUCGUGCUAGGGAUUGGGGCUUGUAAUUAUUCCCCAUGAACGAGGAAUUCCCAGUAAGCGCGAGUCAUCAUCUCGCGUUGAUUACGUCCCUGCCCUUUGUACACACCGCCCGUCGCUACUACCGAUUGAAUGGUCCGGUGAAGCGUUCGGACCGUGGCCUUUGGACGGUUCGCCGUCUGUUGGCUGCGGGAAGUUCGUUAAACCUUAUCAUUUAGAGGAAGGAGAAGUCGUAACA
Molecule: ribosomal RNA, 329 nt
Filed under: uncultured eukaryote
Lineage: Eukaryota
Description: partial 18S ribosomal RNA
Rfam family: Eukaryotic small subunit ribosomal RNA
Source: RNAcentral